RNAcentral lists this ribosomal RNA (253 nucleotides) under uncultured bacterium. RNAcentral's name for it is "partial 16S ribosomal RNA". It matches the Rfam family "Bacterial small subunit ribosomal RNA", at positions 524 to 776 of the family's 1533-position model. The record is from RNAcentral.
UACAGAGGGUCCAAGCGUUAUCCGGAAUCAUUGGGUUUAAAGGGUCCGUAGGCGGCCAAAUAAGUCAGUGGUGAAAGCCCAUCGCUCAACGAUGGAACGGCCAUUGAUACUGUUUGGCUUGAAUUAUUAGGAAGUAACUAGAAUAUGUAGUGUAGCGGUGAAAUGCUUAGAGAUUACAUGGAAUACCAAUUGCGAAGGCAGGUUACUACUAGUGGAUUGACGCUGAAGCACGAAAGCGUGGGGAGCAAACAGG